AACGAACGCUGGCGGCAGGCCUAACACAUGCAAGUCGAACGCCCUAGCAAUAGGGCGUGGCAGACGGGUGAGUAACACGUGGCAACCUACUCUCUAGUACGGAAUAGCCCAGUGAAACUGGGAGUAAAACCGUACACGUCCGUGAGGGGAAAGAUUGAUUGAUAUAGGACGGGGCCGAGUAGGAUGAGCAGGUUGGUGAGGUAAGGGGUCACCAAAGCGACGAUCCUAAGCUGGUCUGAGAGAACGACCAGACACACUGGGACUGGGACCCGGCCCAGAUUCCUACGGAAGGCAGCAGUGGGGAAUAUUGGACAAUGGGCGCAAGCCUGAUCCAGGCAUGCCGCGUGAGUAAUGAAGGCCUUAGGGUUGUAAAGCUCUUUUGUCGGGGACGAUAAUGACGGUACCCGAAGAAUAAGUCCCGGCUAACUUCGUGCCAGCAGCCGCCGUAA
Molecule: ribosomal RNA, 449 nt
Filed under: uncultured bacterium
Lineage: Bacteria
Description: partial 16S ribosomal RNA
Rfam family: Bacterial small subunit ribosomal RNA
Source: RNAcentral